UUGGUGAGUGUCAGCUGAGAUUUCAGACAUGUGUUGUAAAAUCUUAAACAUGCUACAAGUAUAAGAAGCCUGACUAUUCUCAGGGAGCGGCAACAUUUCAGGACUUCUUGGGUGGAAGAAAGUUGGCAGAGAGAAAGUCCACAGUGACACUGAAAAGUAUAAGGACCUUAGGAGAUGAAAUAACAUAUUCCCUGGGCUAGGAACCUGUUAUUGGAAGAACUGGAGCAGUGGGGCUAACUGCUGGAGAUGAUGGGAGUGUGGCACCAAUCCAUGAGAGCAACUUCUUGCUGAAUUCCUCCUGGUGCUCACUUUAAUCAGAGCAGGCUGUCAUGGCCUUGGACGGUGAACAG
Callorhinus ursinus (northern fur seal) is the source of this 350-nucleotide non-coding RNA. Lineage: Eukaryota; Metazoa; Chordata; Mammalia; Carnivora; Otariidae. The record is from RefSeq and is a predicted model, not a curated record.